ACAGAGGAUGCAAGCGUUAUCCGGAAUGAUUGGGCGUAAAGCGUCUGUAGGUGGCUUUUUAAGUCCACCGUCAAAUCCCAGGGCUCAACCCUGGACGGGCGGUGGAAACUACCAAGCUGGAGUACGGUAGGGGCAAAGGGAAUUUCCGGUGGAGCGGUGAAAUGCGUAGAGAUCGGAAAGAACACCAAUGGCGAAAGCACUUUGCUGGGCCGACACUGACACUGAGAGACGAAAGCUAGGGGAGCAAAUGGGAUUAGAUACCCCAGUAGUCCUAGCUGUAAACGAUGGAUACUAAGCGCUGUGCGUAUCGACCCGUGCAGUGCUGUAGCUAACGCAUUAAGUAUCCCGCCUGGGGAGUACGUUCGCAAGAAUG
This 373-nucleotide ribosomal RNA is filed under the name uncultured bacterium. Its description in RNAcentral is "bacterial SSU rRNA". It matches the Rfam family "Bacterial small subunit ribosomal RNA", at positions 525 to 896 of the family's 1533-position model. The record is from RNAcentral.